ACGAAAACGUCAAUGUCGUUCGGGUUUAUUUCUUUUUGUUUUGCUGUUUCGGUUCAGGUAAUGAUUGAUUCUGCUGUAACUGAUUUGUGAAAAUCGCUGAGGUCAUAUUUUUCCUUCGUAAGAACAUGAUCGGCAUAAAGAGAAAAUGCAUCAAUAGCAAUGAAGAAAAAUCCUAACCACGGAUGGCAUGGUAUGGACAAAUUGCGUUUGUUGGAAUAUCUGAGUGAACAUUAACUGUUUCGUUACAAGCCCAGCUACAUAGGAGAAUGAAGAAAGCACAGAAAAUUAUGUUUUAUUUUUAAUGUUCAAUGACCGUUAAACAAAAUUAUUUUGUUCAGUUUGUUUCGCGUGGAUUGCUUGAAACUAAUAACACUCUUACUGUAUCGUGCGAACAUAAUAUUUAAAUAAAUAUUGAUGAUGCUUUUAAUUAUGUCAG
Wyeomyia smithii (pitcher-plant mosquito) is the source of this 436-nucleotide long non-coding RNA. RefSeq lists it as uncharacterized. NCBI's taxonomy places the organism in Eukaryota, Metazoa, Arthropoda, Insecta, Diptera, Culicidae. The transcript is spliced from 2 exons. The record is from RefSeq and is a predicted model, not a curated record.